AACGAACGCUGGCGGCAGGCUUAACACAUGCAAGUCGAACGCGUGUAGCAAUACACGAGUGGCGCACGGGUGAGUAACGCGUGGAUAUCUGCCUUUUGGUUCGGAAUAACCCCGGGAAACUGGGGCUAAUACCGGAUGGUUCCUACGGGAUAAAGAUUUAUCGCCAAAAGAUGAGUCCGCGUACGAUUAGCUAGUUGGUGAGGUAAUGGCUCACCAAGGCGACGAUCGUUAGCUGGUCUGAGAGGACGAUCAGCCACACUGGGACUGAGACACGGCCCAGACUCCUACGGGAGGCAGCAGUGGGGAAUUUUGGACAAUGGGCGCAAGCCUGAUCCAGCCAUGCCGCGUGCGGGAAGAAGGCCUUCGGGUUGUAAACCGCUUUGUCCAGGGAGAAACGCUACUGGGCUAAUACCCUGGGGUAAUGACGGGUACCUGAAGAAUAAGCACCGGCUAACUACGUGCCAGCCGCCGCGGGUAA
This 478-nucleotide ribosomal RNA is filed under the name uncultured bacterium. Its description in RNAcentral is "bacterial SSU rRNA". It matches the Rfam family "Bacterial small subunit ribosomal RNA", at positions 29 to 524 of the family's 1533-position model. The record is from RNAcentral.